This 245-nucleotide ribosomal RNA is filed under the name uncultured bacterium. RNAcentral describes it as "partial 16S ribosomal RNA". It matches the Rfam family "Bacterial small subunit ribosomal RNA", at positions 524 to 768 of the family's 1533-position model. The record is from RNAcentral.
UACGAGUGCUCCAAGCGUUAUCCGGAAUUACUGGGCGUAAAGCGUUUGUAGGGGGCAAUGAUAGUCCCGUGUUAAAUUUUGAGGCUCAACCUCAAAGCUGCGCGGGAAACGUCAUAGCUAGAGGACGUAAGAGGCUGAUAGAACCUACGGUGUAGGGGUGAAAUCCGUUGAUAUCGUAGGGAAUACCAAAGGCGAAGGCAUUCAGCUGGUGCGUUCCUGACCCUGAGAAACGAAAGCGUGGGGAG